RNAcentral lists this signal recognition particle RNA (209 nucleotides) under Chlorocebus sabaeus (green monkey). Its description in RNAcentral is "Metazoan signal recognition particle RNA". It matches the Rfam family "Metazoan signal recognition particle RNA". Rfam says of the family: The signal recognition particle (SRP) is a universally conserved ribonucleoprotein. It is involved in the co-translational targeting of proteins to membranes. The record is from Rfam by way of RNAcentral. Lineage: Eukaryota; Metazoa; Chordata; Mammalia; Primates; Cercopithecidae.
GCCGGGGGCGGUGGCUCAAGCCUGUAAUCCCAGCACUUUGGGAGGCCGAGACGGGCGGAUCACGAGGUCAGCAGAUCGAGACCACCCUGGCUAACACGGUGAAACCCCGUCUCUACUAAAAANNNNNNNNNNUUUUUAGUAGAGACGGGGUUUCACCGUGUUAGCCAGGGUGGUCUCGAUCUGCUGACCUCGUGAUCCGCCCGUCUCGG